This is a long non-coding RNA of Oncorhynchus gorbuscha (pink salmon), 489 nucleotides long. RefSeq lists it as uncharacterized. The record is from RefSeq and is a predicted model, not a curated record. NCBI's taxonomy places the organism in Eukaryota, Metazoa, Chordata, Actinopteri, Salmoniformes, Salmonidae. The transcript has 2 exons.
AGACCCACUACAACUGAGACCCACUACAACCAGGUAAUAAAGCUAUGAUCUGACUGUGAGACCCACUACAACCAGGUAAUAAAGCUAUGAUCUGACUGUGAGACCCACUACAACCAGGUAAUAAAGCUAUGAUCUGACUGUGAGACCCACUACAACCAGGUAAUAAAGCUAUAAUCUGACUGUGAGACCCACUACAACCAGGUAAUAAAGAUAUGAUCUGACUGAGACCCACUACAACCAGGUAAUAAAGCUAUGAUCUGACUGUGAGACCCACUAUAACCAGGUAAUAAAGCUAUGAUCUGACUGUGAGACUCACUACAACCAGGUAAUGAAGCUAUGAUCUGACUGUGAGACCCACUACAACCAGGUAAUAAAGCUAUAAUCUGACUGAGACCCACUACAACUAGGUAAUAAAGCUAUGAUCUGACUGAGACCCACUACAACCAGGUAAUAAAGCUAUAAUCUGACUGAGACCCACUACAACUAAGU